RNAcentral lists this ribosomal RNA (513 nucleotides) under uncultured bacterium. Its description in RNAcentral is "partial 16S ribosomal RNA". It matches the Rfam family "Bacterial small subunit ribosomal RNA", at positions 28 to 523 of the family's 1533-position model. The record is from RNAcentral.
GACGAACGCUGGCGGCGUGCCUAAUACAUGCAAGUAGAACGCUGAAGAAAGGAGCUUGCUUCUUUUGGAUGAGUUGCGAACGGGUGAGUAACGCGUAGGUAACCUGCCUUGUAGCGGGGGAUAACUAUUGGAAACGAUAGCUAAUACCGCAUAACAGCUUUUGACACAUGUUAGAAGCUUGAAAGAUGCAAUUGCAUCACUACGAGAUGGACCUGCGUGGUAUUAGCUAGUAGGUAGGGUAACGGCCUACCUAGGCGACGAUACAUAGCCGACCUGGGAGGGUGAUCGGCCACACUGGGACUGAGACACGGCCCAGACUCCUACGGGAGGCAGCAGUAGGGAAUCUUCGGCAAUGGGGGCAACCCUGACCGAGCAACGCCGCGUGAGUGAAGAAGGUUUUCGGAUCGUAAAGCUCUGUUGUAAGAGAAGAACGUGUGUGAGAGUGGAAAGUUCACACAGUGACGGUAACUUACCAGAAAGGGACGGCUAACUACGUGCCAGCCGCCGCCGUAA